Molecule: long non-coding RNA, 385 nt
Organism: Magallana angulata
Lineage: Eukaryota; Metazoa; Mollusca; Bivalvia; Ostreida; Ostreidae
Exons: 2
Source: RefSeq, a predicted model, not a curated record
UGGAGAUGGUCAUUUUGGCGAUCUCCGUGUGGUGGUACGUGUUCCUCUGGGGCAGACCGGAAGCACACAUGUAGGCAUCCCCGAUCGUCUCCACCUGAUCAGACGACAAAAGAAAAGAGGGAUGUUAGCUCGAGGUGGUCAAAGACGUUGGACUAAGCCGGAGUAGCCGGAGCAAACCCACAAGUAUAAUCGGGCGACCACCAUUCCUUUUUACAUAUAUACACGUAUCACGGGAUGAACUCGGAUCGGGUUCAUUGGAAAGUAUUAUUGUCAUAUUUAAUCUCACCUUGUAGACGUCAUAUGCGGUGAUGACAUCAUCAAAAGUGGAAUAUAGUUCAUUCAACAUUUGCACAAUCUGAAAUUACAAUAAAUAUAUACAAAAAUA